This 430-nucleotide unclassified non-coding RNA is filed under the name soil metagenome. RNAcentral's name for it is "partial contains 5.8S ribosomal RNA, internal transcribed spacer 2, and large subunit ribosomal RNA". The stretch from base 1 to 120 matches the Rfam family "5.8S ribosomal RNA", at positions 35 to 154 of the family's 154-position model. The record is from RNAcentral.
GAUUAAGAACGUAGCGAAAUGCGAUACGUAAUGUGAAUUGCAGAAUUCAGUGAAUCAUCGAAUCUUUGAACGCAUAUUGCGCUCUCUGGUAUUCCGGAGAGCAUGCUUGUUUGAGUAUCAGUAAACACCUCAACUCCCUUUUCUUUUUUGAAAUUGGAGCUGGACUUGAGUGAUCCCAACGCUUUCUUCCAAGAAAGUGGCGGGUUGCUUGAAAUGCAGGUGCAGCUGAACUUUUCUCUGAGCUAUAAGCAUAUCUAUUUAGUCUGCCUAAAAAACAGAUUAUUACCUUUGCUGCAGCUAACAUAAAGGAGACUAGUUCUUGUGCUGACUGAUGCAGGAUUCACAGAGACAGCUUCGGCUGACUUUGUAAACUCGAUCUCAAAUCAAGUAAGACUACCCGCUGAACUUAAGCAUAUCAAUAAGCGGAGGA